Molecule: ribosomal RNA, 743 nt
Filed under: uncultured bacterium
Lineage: Bacteria
Description: bacterial SSU rRNA
Rfam family: Bacterial small subunit ribosomal RNA
Source: RNAcentral
AGCGGCGGAUGGGUGAGUAACACGUGGGGAACCUGCCCCUAAGUCUGGGAUACCAUUUGGAAACAGGUGCUAAUACCGGAUAAUAAAGCAGAUCGCAUGAUCAGCUUUUGAAAGGCGGCGUAAGCUGUCGCUAAGGGAUGGCCCCGCGGUGCAUUAGCUAGUUGGUAAGGUAACGGCUUACCAAGGCGACGAUGCAUAGCCGAGUUGAGAGACUGAUCGGCCACAUUGGGACUGAGACACGGCCCAAACCCCUACGGGAGGCAGCAGUAGGGAAUCUUCCACAAUGGACGCAAGUCUGAUGGAGCAACGCCGCGUGAGUGAAGAAGGUUUUCGGAUCGUAAAGCUCUGUUGUUGGUGAAGAAGGAUAGAGGUAGUAACUGGCCUUUAUUUGACGGUAAUCAACCAGAAAGUCACGGCUAACUACGUGCCAGCAGCCGCGGUAAUACGUAGGUGGCAAGCGUUGUCCGGAUUUAUUGGGCGUAAAGCGAGCGCAGGCGGAAAAAUAAGUCUAAUGUGAAAGCCCUCGGCUUAACCGAGGAACUGCAUCGGAAACUGUUUUUCUUGAGUGCAGAAGAGGAGAGUGGAACUCCAUGUGUAGCGGUGGAAUGCGUAGAUAUAUGGAAGAACACCAGUGGCGAAGGCGGCUCUCUGGUCUGCAACUGACGCUGAGGCUCGAAAGCAUGGGUAGCGAACAGGAUUAGAUACCCUGGUAGUCCAUGCCGUAAACGAUGAGUGCUAAGUGU